RNAcentral lists this non-coding RNA (21 nucleotides) under Arabidopsis thaliana (thale cress). The record is from RNAcentral. Lineage: Eukaryota; Viridiplantae; Streptophyta; Magnoliopsida; Brassicales; Brassicaceae.
UUGAUCGCAUAACCUCGUACA